UACGAGCCUCACAACCGUUAUUCGGAAUCACUGGGCUUAAAGGGUGCGUAGGCGGUGUGGAAAGUCGGAUGUGAAAUACCUCAGCUUAACUGAGGAACUGCACUCGAUACUUCCAUGCUAGAGUAAGACAGAGGUGAGUGGAACUGAGGGUGGAGCGGUGAAAUGCGUUGAUAUCCUCAGGAACACCGGUGGCGAAGGCGACUCACUGGGUCUUUACUGACGCUGAUGCACGAAAGCUAGGGUAGCAAACGGG
RNAcentral lists this ribosomal RNA (253 nucleotides) under uncultured bacterium. Its description in RNAcentral is "partial 16S ribosomal RNA". It matches the Rfam family "Bacterial small subunit ribosomal RNA", at positions 524 to 776 of the family's 1533-position model. The record is from RNAcentral.